GAUGAACGCUGGCGGCGUGCUUAACACAUGCAAGUCGAACGAAGAUGCCGGAGUGCUUGCACUUUGGCAGACUGAGUGGCGGACGGGUGAGUAACGCGUGGGUAACCUGCCUUAUACAGGGGGAUAACAGUUGGAAACGACUGCUAAUACCGCAUAAGCGCACGGUAUCGCAUGAUACAGUGUGAAAAACUCCGGUGGUAUAAGAUGGACCCGCGUCUGAUUAGCUAGUUGGUGAGGUAACGGCCCACCAAGGCGACGAUCAGUAGGGGUUCUGAGAGGAAGGCCCCCCCACAUUGGGACUGAGACACGGCCCAGACUCCUACGGGAGGCAGCAGUGGGGGAUAUUGGACAAUGGGGGAAACCCUGAUGCAGCGACGCGCGUGGAGGAAGAAGGUCUUCGGAUUGUAAACUCC
RNAcentral lists this ribosomal RNA (413 nucleotides) under uncultured bacterium. Its description in RNAcentral is "bacterial SSU rRNA". It matches the Rfam family "Bacterial small subunit ribosomal RNA", at positions 28 to 433 of the family's 1533-position model. The record is from RNAcentral.